This 72-nucleotide transfer RNA is filed under the name Camelus bactrianus (Bactrian camel). It matches the Rfam family "tRNA". Rfam says of the family: Transfer RNA (tRNA) molecules are approximately 80 nucleotides in length. Their secondary structure includes four short double-helical elements and three loops (D, anti-codon, and T loops). Lineage: Eukaryota; Metazoa; Chordata; Mammalia; Artiodactyla; Camelidae. RNAcentral also lists the same sequence under 2 other names. The record is from Rfam by way of RNAcentral.
GAGGGUACAGCUCAGUGAUAGAGCAUGUGCUUAGCAUGCAUGAGGUCCUGGGUUCAAUCCCCAGUACCUCCA